Molecule: ribosomal RNA, 211 nt
Filed under: uncultured bacterium
Lineage: Bacteria
Description: partial 16S ribosomal RNA
Rfam family: Bacterial small subunit ribosomal RNA
Source: RNAcentral
UGAUGGGGAUAACAGUUGGGAAACGACUGCUAAUACCGAAUACGCUCAUGAUGAACUUUGUGAGGAAAGGUGGCCUCUGCUUGCAAAGCUAUCGCAUAGAGAUGAGUCCGCGUCCCAUUAGCUAGUUGGUGGGGUAACGGCCUACCAAGGCAACGAUGGGUAGCCGAUCUGAGAGGAUGAUCGGCCACACUGGAACUGAAACACGGUCCAG